RNAcentral lists this ribosomal RNA (253 nucleotides) under uncultured bacterium. RNAcentral's name for it is "partial 16S ribosomal RNA". It matches the Rfam family "Bacterial small subunit ribosomal RNA", at positions 524 to 776 of the family's 1533-position model. The record is from RNAcentral.
UACGUAGGGGGCUAGCGUUGUCCGGAAUCAUUGGGCGUAAAGCGCGUGUAGGCGGCUAGGUAAGUCUGCUCUGAAAGCCCGGGGCUCAACCCCGGGAGGCGGGUGGAUACUGUCUAGCUCGAGUCCGGAAGAGGAGUGUGGAAUUCCUGGUGUAGCGGUGAAAUGCGCAGAUAUCAGGAGGAACACCAAUGGCGAAGGCAGCACUCUGGGACGUGACUGACGCUGAGACGCGAAAGCGUGGGGAGCAAACAGG